RNAcentral lists this ribosomal RNA (476 nucleotides) under uncultured bacterium. RNAcentral describes it as "bacterial SSU rRNA". It matches the Rfam family "Bacterial small subunit ribosomal RNA", at positions 93 to 604 of the family's 1533-position model. The record is from RNAcentral.
UAGUGGCGCACGGGUGCGUAACGCGUGGGAAUCUGCCCUUGGGUUCGGGAUAACCGUUGGAAACGACGGCUAAUACCGGAUGAUGACGUAAGNCCAAAGAUUUAUCGCCCAGGGAUGAGCCCGCGUCCGAUUAGGUAGUUGGUGGGGUAAAGGCCUACCAAGCCGACGAUCGGUAGCUGGUCUGAGAGGAUGAUCAGCCACACUGGGACUGAGACACGGCCCAGACUCCUACGGGAGGCAGCAGUGGGGAAUAUUGGACAAUGGGCGAAAGCCUGAUCCAGCAAUGCCGCGUGAGUGAUGAAGGCCUUAGGGUUGUAAAGCUCUUUUACCCGGGAUGAUAAUGACAGUACCGGGAGAAUAAGCCCCGGCUAACUCCGUGCCAGCAGCCGCGGUAAUACGGAGGGGGCUAGCGUUGUUCGGAAUUACUGGGCGUAAAGCGCACGUAGGCGGCUUUGUAAGUUAGAGGUGAAAGCCUG